CUCAUGUCAGAGACAGUCCCUGUUCCCAAUACGAGGGACUCUUCAGCCCUGAGUUUGAUUAUUUCCAGCUGUCUACUCCUCUUGGAUAAGGAAGUCACCUUCCACAUCAGCCACUGGGAGACAGAGGCGGGGAAAACUCUGGAAGUUCCUGGAUGGUAACCGGCCACCAGCCUUCACCGCCAACUCAGUGGAGUUAGGGGCAGUGGAGGUCAAAGUCUCCAAUCAUCAGAGAGAGAAACGAUCUCUGCUCACUUCAGUCCUGGAGACGUGGCUAACCUGACAGCUGACAUGCAGUUCACACAUGCUCAGCAUUACCACCCAUGACCCAAGUUCUGCUGAUCUUCCUUCCAAGGCUCAGCUUCUGCACUGCACUUGUGUCUGCAGAGCUGCCUGCAGCUUCCCCUGUGAAGAAGGAAUUGCAGCAGAGUCAAGCUGUGUGUUUAGUAGGACUGCUAUUCCUAAGCAAAGGCCAAGAAGCCCUUUUGGAAAGACAGGAAGCCUGAGAGUGCUCUCUUUAAAAGAUUGGCACCAAUAUUUCUGUACAUAAGUCUUGCUUGAUGCCCUGGCUACCCUGGAAUGUUGUGUAGACAAUUAUAAACCUCACACUCAGAAAUCCACUAGAAAUGACUGCCAGAGUUCUGGGACUGAGACAGAAACCAUGUGCUGCAGGCCCCAGCACCCCGAGACUCCCUCAUCGCGUCUUUUUAGCACUCAAGAAGUAAAAAGGCAUGGAAUGACAUAUAAAGUUUCACGUCAAUGAUGUCCAGGUAACUAACCUGUCACACAAAGUGGAAUUUCCCAUCUGUUGCUUUUUCCUGCUUUGUCUCCCAUAUCCUCCCACUCCUUACCUUGUACUUUUCAGCAGCCUCUUCAAUGAGAACUGUGUGGUGACCACGGUGAUCCUGAGAUCUCUCACAAAGCCAGCAGAUGGCUGUCAUGUCAUUCUCACAGAAGAGCUGGAGCUUCUCUCCAUGUUGUUCACAGACAUUCACCGUCUGCUCCUCCUCAGGAAUAGAUUUAAACCCUUUGAGACUCUCCACUAUAUUGGCUGCAUGUCGAUUGGGCCUCAGAUUCCCAAACAGGUUCCUUCAGGAGCUCCAGACAGAUGGAACAGGUCACCUCCUCCUUUAUCUUCGCCAGGACUGAUGAGGCCAUAGUUGCUGUGAUCCUGCUUCUGCCUGUCCUGAUUUCUCACACUUCUGCACGUCUGCCUGCAUGAUUAAGAAGAUAAAAUGGGGCCAAGUAAGGAAAUGGAGGAUCAGAAUGAACACCGUGCAGAGAUCAAGGAAGAAACACAAUGAUACAGUAAAAGAACAAAGGAAGAAAUAUGGAAAGAGAGAGGUUUAGUGACAGCAAAAUAGCACUUUGUCUUUCCUUCAAGUACUCUACUCUUAGUUCAUUCCAAAUGACAAAUUUCAGACACAAGAUAGCUCUUCUCCUUUUAUGGAAGAGCAGAAAUAAAGUGUUUCCUUUCAACAGCCUUGAAACAGGCUUGUGUAAACCAUCCUUACCUUUCUUUCCCAGGCCACCAUCGUCACCAAACUACUCAUGCUUCUGGCACUCUACUUCCUGUUUUAUCAGCAGUAGUCAGUGUGACACGCUCUGAUCCUCCCCUUACAACUUCCUUACCAGAAAGAGCUGGUGCUGACCUGGGGUAUAAACAGUCCCUUCUCCUGAUGCACACAUGCAUUGACUUUUCUGACUGAC
Long non-coding RNA from Psammomys obesus (fat sand rat), 1707 nucleotides. RefSeq lists it as uncharacterized. The transcript has 6 exons. The record is from RefSeq and is a predicted model, not a curated record. NCBI's taxonomy places the organism in Eukaryota, Metazoa, Chordata, Mammalia, Rodentia, Muridae.